AGUGAACGCUGGCGGUAGGCCUAACGCAUGCAAGUCGAACGGCAGCACAGUAAGAGCUUGCUCUUACGGGUGGCGAGUGGCGGACGGGUGAGGAAUACAUCGGAAUCUACUUUUUCGUGGGGGAUAACGUAGGGAAACUUACGCUAAUACCGCAUACGACCUACGGGUGAAAGCAGGGGAUCUUCGGACCUUGCGCGAUUGAAUGAGCCGAUGUCGGAUUAGCUAGUUGGCGGGGUAAAGGCCCACCAAGGCGACGAUCCGUAGCUGGUCUGAGAGGAUGAUUAGGCACCCUGGAAAUGAGACAAGGGCCCGACCCCUAAGGGAGGCCGGCAGGGGGAAAAUUGGACAAUGGGGGGAAGGCUUGUCCCACCAUACCCGGGGGGUGAAGAAGGCCUUUCGGGUUGUAAGCCCUUUUGUUGGGAAAGAAAAGCAGCAGGUUAAUACCCCGCUGUUCUGACGGUACCCAAAGAAUAAGCACCGGCUAACUUCGUG
RNAcentral lists this ribosomal RNA (492 nucleotides) under uncultured bacterium. Its description in RNAcentral is "partial 16S ribosomal RNA". It matches the Rfam family "Bacterial small subunit ribosomal RNA", at positions 29 to 507 of the family's 1533-position model. The record is from RNAcentral.